RNAcentral lists this ribosomal RNA (541 nucleotides) under Aspergillus amstelodami. RNAcentral describes it as "eukaryotic LSU rRNA". The stretch from base 160 to 313 matches the Rfam family "5.8S ribosomal RNA". The record is from RNAcentral. Lineage: Eukaryota; Fungi; Ascomycota; Eurotiomycetes; Eurotiales; Aspergillaceae.
UGCGGAAGGAUCAUUACCGAGUGCGGGCCCUCUGGGUCCAACCUCCCAUCCGUGUCUAUCUGUACCCUGUUGCUUCGGCGUGGCCACGGCCCGCCGGAGACUAACAUUUGAACGCUGUCUGAAGUUUGCAGUCUGAGUUUUUAGUUAAACAAUCGUUAAAACUUUCAACAACGGAUCUCUUGGUUCCGGCAUCGAUGAAGAACGCAGCGAAAUGCGAUAAUUAAUGUGAAUUGCAGAAUUCAGUGAAUCAUCGAGUCUUUGAACGCACAUUGCGCCCCCUGGUAUUCCGGGGGGCAUGCCUGUCCGAGCGUCAUUGCUGCCCUCAAGCACGGCUUGUGUGUUGGGCUUCCGUCCCUGGCAACGGGGACGGGCCCAAAAGGCAGUGGCGGCACCAUGUCUGGUCCUCGAGCGUAUGGGGCUUUGUCACCCGCUCCCGUAGGUCCAGCUGGCAGCUAGCCUCGCAACCAAUCUUUUUAACCAGGUUGACCUCGGAUCAGGUAGGGAUACCCGCUGAACUUAAGCAUAUCAAUAACCCGGAGGA